RNAcentral lists this ribosomal RNA (253 nucleotides) under uncultured bacterium. RNAcentral describes it as "partial 16S ribosomal RNA". It matches the Rfam family "Bacterial small subunit ribosomal RNA", at positions 524 to 776 of the family's 1533-position model. The record is from RNAcentral.
UACAGAGGGUGCGAGCGUUAAUCGGAAUUACUGGGCGUAAAGCGUGCGCAGGCGGUUUUGUAAGUCUGUCGUGAAAUCCCCGGGCUUAACCUGGGAAUGGCGAUGGUGACUGCAAGGCUAGAGUUUGGCAGAGGGGGGUAGAAUUCCACGUGUAGCAGUGAAAUGCGUAGAGAUGUGGAGGAACACCGAUGGCGAAGGCAGCCCCCUGGGUCAAAACUGACGCUCAUGCACGAAAGCGUGGGGAGCAAACAGG